This 537-nucleotide small RNA is filed under the name Pongo abelii (Sumatran orangutan). RNAcentral's name for it is "processed transcript". Lineage: Eukaryota; Metazoa; Chordata; Mammalia; Primates; Hominidae. The record is from RNAcentral.
UUCACCUUGUAAAGAGCAGAAAGAAAAAGUGUCACAGAUAGUAGGUCCUAAUAAUAAUUAACAAAUAUAUUGAUUUUCUAGGACGUGGUAUUUAUUCCAACAUGCUAGGAUUCCUUGGUGGUGUCUCCUGGGCGAUGCUAGUUGCAAGAACUUGCCAAUUGUAUCCAAAUGCAGCAGCAUCUACUUUAGUUCAUAAGUUCUUUUUAGUUUUUUCCAAGUGGGAAUGGCCAAAUCCUGUGCUGCUGAAGCAACCAGAAGAAAGCAAUCUGAAUUUGCCUGUCUGGGAUCCUCGGGUAAAUCCAUCAGAUAGGUAUCAUCUCAUGCCCAUAAUCACCCCUGCCUACCCACAACAGAAUUCUACGUAUAAUGUGUCCACAUCAACUCGAACAGUAAUGGUAGAAGAAUUUAAACAAGGUCUUGCAGUCACAGAUGAAAUUCUUCAAGGAAAGUCAGAUUGGUCCAAACUACUUGAGCCACCGAAUUUCUUUCAAAAGUAUAGACAUUAUAUAGUAUUGACUGCCAGCGCAUCAACAGAAG